ACUUAUCCUCUUAUUAAUUGACAAUAUCAUAAAAUUUGUUUCAAUUCAUUUUCUUAAAGAUUGGGCUCCAACCAGAGCUAAUACCACGGCUCAAGAACGCAUAUUAUCAUAUAUAUGAAGUUAAUUUGUUGUAGGACCUGCUCCAGAACACUAGCUCCAGAACGCUAGCUCUUAUUUAUCGCUCUUCUUUCCUCAGCAUAACUCCAUAGCUCUUCAUAAAUCGAAUAACUGAAGACCUGAGCUGAAGACCUGAAGAACUGAGCUCCACAACUCAAAUUUUAUCAAGUCGAAUUUCUCAAAGAGAUGAAGAGCUUAAGAUACAGAGGUGGGGAUGGAAGAAAUCAAGAGCGGAAGCUGAAGAAAUCAAGUGUUGAGAUUCCUUUUCAUUCUCUAGUCAUCUGUACAACCGAUUUGUGAAGGGAAAUGGGGGUGAUCAAAUUUGAAGUGGAUGAUGAAGAGUUUCCGAACUAUUGUAAAAGUUUGAAUACAUUAUAUUUGAUUUUGUGAAAUAUAUUCAUUGCUAGAAUAUAUUGAACUAUUGUAGUACUUUUUGAACUAUUGUGUACACAUUUAGAAUAUUGAUGUAUAAGUAUGGGUAUGUACACAACACAAACUAUAUCUUUUGAAGUUUAUGGAAAAUCUAUAAAAUUGAAUUACUUAUUA
This is a long non-coding RNA of Solanum pennellii, 663 nucleotides long. RefSeq lists it as uncharacterized. NCBI's taxonomy places the organism in Eukaryota, Viridiplantae, Streptophyta, Magnoliopsida, Solanales, Solanaceae. The record is from RefSeq and is a predicted model, not a curated record. The transcript has 3 exons.